This 76-nucleotide transfer RNA is filed under the name Pseudomonadota bacterium. Its description in RNAcentral is "Proteobacteria bacterium (activated sludge metagenome) tRNA-Lys". It matches the Rfam family "tRNA". From Rfam's summary of the family: Transfer RNA (tRNA) molecules are approximately 80 nucleotides in length. Their secondary structure includes four short double-helical elements and three loops (D, anti-codon, and T loops). The record is from RNAcentral. Lineage: Bacteria; Pseudomonadati; Pseudomonadota.
GGGCACGUAGCUCAGUCGGUAGAGCAUCUGACUUUUAAUCAGGUGGUCACAGGUUCGAAUCCUGUCGUGCCCACCA